Molecule: ribosomal RNA, 492 nt
Filed under: uncultured bacterium
Lineage: Bacteria
Description: partial 16S ribosomal RNA
Rfam family: Bacterial small subunit ribosomal RNA
Source: RNAcentral
AGUGAACGCUGGCGGUAGGCCUAACACAUGCAAGUCGAACGGCAGCACAGUAAGAGCUUGCUCUUACGGGUGGCGAGUGGCGGACGGGUGAGGAAUACAUCGGAAUCUACUUUUUCGUGGGGGAUAACGUAGGGAAACUUACGCUAAUACCGCAUACGACCUACGGGUGAAAGCAGGGGAACUUCGGACCUUGCGCGAUUGAAUGAGCCGAUGUCGGAUUAGCUAGUUGGCGGGGUAAAGGCCCACCAAGGCGACGAUCCGUAGCUGGUCUGAGAGGAUGAUCAGCCACACUGGAACUGAGACACGGUCCAGACUCCUACGGGAGGCAGCAGUGGGGAAUAUUCGACAAUGGGCGCAAGCCUGAUCCAGCCAUACCGCGUGGGUGAAGAAGGCCUUCGGGUUGUAAAGCCCUUUUGUUGGGAAAGAAAAGCAGCAGGUUAAUACCCCGCUGUUCUGACGGUACCCAAAGAAUAAGCACCGGCUAACUUCGUG